UUGCCCUAGCCACAGAGCUCGCACCGUCGCCGGCUAGCCACGCCCUAGCGUCGUAUGCCAUGCGUGCCACCGCUGCAGUACUUGCCCACCACGCACACGUAAGCCACAGCCGCCACCGACCACCGCUCAGCAGUCCGUCGGCGCCCAGCCACCAAACACGCAGCUAGCCGGGUUUGGCCAGCGCCAGGCCACCAUGGCCGCGGCUCCAACUUCCAACGCUGUGCCCCGCCUGGCAACCAACUGCGUCCACCGCCUCCUGGCUGGCUAGGCAGGAUAGAGACAGAUGUCUCAUCCAGUGCUCCACUCCUCCAUAGUAUAAUAACUUCAUUGGAUUUAAUUAUUGCGGCAUCCUUUUCUGCUUGAGACACCUGCUGAAGCUGGAAGUACAUGCUUUCUUAUUCCUCUCUUUUCUCCUUAUGGUACAAGGAUGAUUAUACUUGGUAAGGAAAUGUUGGUUUUCUCAUCCAAUUCAGAUAAUCUCGUUUCCAUUUGAUCACACGUGCUUCAUACAUCACAUGGAUAGUAUGUAUGAAUCCUAAAAAGAUCUAAUUGAACAUCGUCAUUUAAUUAAUACAUGUCGGUCAUUUUGCAACCCUUGUUAACAAUAACCAGACUGAUGGAUUUUCUACCGCCGUAAAUUUCAAGUAAAUUUUUUGUUAUGAUGUUCAAUUUUUCUUGUCAUGUGCGGCGGAAACAUAAGUAGGCUGGAUAAAUAGUUUUGUAAUUUUUAUGCCUAAACAUGUUCAAACAAAUUGUUUGUAAUCUAAUGUAUGCAACUUUGAUGCUUAGCUGUUAUGUUAAAUACUGAAUGUACUAUAAAAUUAUAUAUUAGAUAUGAUUUAUAUAUAAAAUUAUAUAUUAUAUAUGAUUUAGUCCCUCUAUUUUAUUUCAUUUUAGAUUCUAAAUUGCUAAAUGCGGAAACUAAAACUUCAUUUUAUAAGUUGUUGGCUUCAGAUUAAACCUAGUUGUUUGUACUGCUGCAAUUAUAAUAUACAGAGAUUUUUUUUUUGUAAGAGUAGUAGAAUUUGGUAUAGACUAAACCCACACGAACACGUUGACGAAUUACGUGCUUCUCGCGAAAAAAAAUCAUAUGGCUCAUAGAGACGGCCCAAAUUCAUAAUUUCUAGGCCGUGAUUUGUAGAGGUUAUUGCAGGAAAAAAAAGAGAGAAAUUUUUAUAUAACAUUAAAUGGGAUCGUUACAUGUAGCUGCAUGCGGAUGUCUUUAUUUGCAUCUGGUGUGAUGGGGAUAUAGGCUGCA
Long non-coding RNA from Zea mays, 1258 nucleotides. RefSeq lists it as uncharacterized. The record is from RefSeq and is a predicted model, not a curated record. NCBI's taxonomy places the organism in Eukaryota, Viridiplantae, Streptophyta, Magnoliopsida, Poales, Poaceae. The transcript has 2 exons.